RNAcentral lists this ribosomal RNA (450 nucleotides) under uncultured bacterium. RNAcentral describes it as "bacterial SSU rRNA". It matches the Rfam family "Bacterial small subunit ribosomal RNA", at positions 355 to 796 of the family's 1533-position model. The record is from RNAcentral.
UGGGGAAUAUUGGACAAUGGGGGGAACCCUGAUCCAGCAAUGCCGCGUGUGUGAAGAAGGCCUGAGGGUUGUAAAGCACUUUCAGUGGGGAGGAGGGAUGAUUGGUUAAGAGCUGAUUAUUUGGACGUUACCCACAGAAGAAGCACCGGCUAACUCCGUGCCAGCAGCCGCGGUAAUACGGAGGGUGCAAGCGUUAAUCGGAAUUACUGGGCGUAAAGGGUGCGUAGGUGGUUAUAUAAGUUAGCUGUGAAAUUCCUGGGCUCAACCUAGGGUGGUCAGCUAAGACUGUAAGACUUUGAGUAUAGGAGAGGGUAGUGGAAUUUCCGGUGUAGCGGUGAAAUGCGUAGAGAUCGGAAGGAACACCAGUGGCGAAGGCGGCUACCUGGCCUAAUACUGACACUGAGGCACGAAAGCGUGGGGAGCAAACAGGAUUAGAUACCCCUGUAGUCC